Terrapene triunguis (Three-toed box turtle) is the source of this 670-nucleotide long non-coding RNA. RefSeq lists it as uncharacterized. The transcript has 2 exons. Lineage: Eukaryota; Metazoa; Chordata; Testudines; Emydidae. The record is from RefSeq and is a predicted model, not a curated record.
GUGUGGGAGGGGCAACCACAUUGCCACUUUUAGGACUAGGAGGGGUCUGCUGUGAUGAACCGCAUGUUCAGUCCGUGUUUCACCUGAUCUACCCUGAUUACACACAUGCCCUGAGCAGACUAAUGAAACAAACACCUGCAGCUGAAGUCUGAUUUGGGGGAAAACUGAUGUUCUAAUGGUUUCCAAUGCAACCAUAUGUAAAGUCCCAGACAGUGAGGGGAAUAAGUAGCAGAUCCAGGGGACCUCUUCAGAAACAUGGAUCCGGUUUCUAUGCAAAUGAAGGAGGGACAGAGAUACAAGGAAAUGAGUUUUCCCUGUAGCUGGUAGCGUGCUCUUUUUAAAAAAAAAAAAAAAAAAAAAAGUCAUUACCUGGAAAUAAUUCCUCUUUGCUUCUGUAGGUGCAAGAACUCUGAAGACAAGAUUGGCUGGUUUCGCUUCUCCCUCACCCUGGAUCCCUUAUAGGAAUCACAGAUGGAUGAUUUGAGAUGAGCCUUAAAGGAAAGGAAAAUGUAUCUUUCUCUCCACCAGCAUCAACUGUAAGAGAGAAUUUGGGGCCUGAAGAUUAAAAGAUUUGCCCUGUCUCCAAUCUGCAUUACAAGGACUCUUUGAAGUUAUGUCCAGGAAAGGCUAUACUAAAAACAGGAUAAAUAAUAAAACUAGAUUGAAUGGA